Molecule: microRNA precursor, 195 nt
Filed under: Nicotiana sylvestris (wood tobacco)
Lineage: Eukaryota; Viridiplantae; Streptophyta; Magnoliopsida; Solanales; Solanaceae
Also listed under: 1 other name
Description: MIR159 microRNA precursor family
Rfam family: MIR159 microRNA precursor family
Source: Rfam by way of RNAcentral
GUUUUGAGAGUGGAGUUCCUUCAAGUUCAACAGAGGAUCUAACUGGUAAAAAUUAAGCUGCUGACCUAUGGAUCCCUCAGCCCUAUCAAUAAUAAUAAUAUUGUUGGAUAGGUUUGUGGCUUGCAUAUGUCAGGAGCUUCAUUAUUCUAAGUUGGAUCCUUUUUUGGAUUGAAGGGAGCUCUACAUUCAUCUCUC